This 3612-nucleotide long non-coding RNA is filed under the name Homo sapiens (human). Its description in RNAcentral is "HSALNT0186545". Lineage: Eukaryota; Metazoa; Chordata; Mammalia; Primates; Hominidae. The record is from RNAcentral.
GCCUAACCUUCUGGGAAUGUAGCCCAGUAGAUCUCAGCCUUGUUUUACCCAGCCCCUAUUCAAGAUGGAGUCACUCUGGUUCAAACACCUCUGACAAAAAUCCUUCUAAAAAUUUUUAAUAUACAAAUUGAGAUCUUCUAAUAUUUUUCUAUUACUGUGGUAUAUCACUUCUUUCCCUUUGUGCACCCUACUUAAAAUUUCAACUCACUCAGAAGAUACAGGAGCUGACUGUCGCUGUGGCUGUGCUGUAUCGGAACACUGCCUACCUUAAGGAAAGAACUUUGGAGGUCUCAGGCUUUGAAUUUUAUUUCCUGUAGUUUUUUCUCUCUGAAAUCUUAUAUAGGCUUUUCCUGAGUAAGGGUCAUUUUCACUUAGCUUUUUGAUGGUAUAAUGGACUGAAUGUUUGUGUCCCCCUUCCAAGUUCAAAUGUUGAAGGCCAAACCCUCCUUGUGGCUGUACUUGGAGAUGGGGGCCUCUUAGGAAGCAAUUAAGGUUGGAUGAGGUCCUUAGGGUGGGGCCCUGAUAGGAUUAGCGUCUGUAUAAAAAGAGACACCUGAGAGCUUCGCCCUGCUAGGAUUAGCGUCUGUAUAAAGAGAGACACCUGAGAGCUUCGCCCUGCUAGGAUUAGCGUCUGUAUAAAGAGAGACACCUGAGAGCUUCGCCCUGCUAGGAUUAGCGUCUGUAUAAAGAGAGACACCUGAGAGCUUCGCCCUGCUAGGAUUAGCGUCUGUAUAAAGAGAGACACCUGAGAGCUUCGCCUACACGCUUCCCCACUGAGGGAAGACCAUGUGACUAUACAACAGGAAGGUAGUUGUUUACAAGCCAGGAAGAGAGCCCUCACCAGAAACCAAAUUGGCUGGCGCCUUGAUCAUGGACUCCUGGGCUCCGGAACUGUAAGAAAAUUUGUGUUGUGGAAGCCACCCAGCCCAUGGUAUUUCGUUAUGGCAGCCUGAGCAGAGGUGGUAGCUAUGUGGACAGUUUUUGGACUUCUCUAUUGUAACACAGGAGGCAACACAGAUUCUUCAAGUCUCACAGCUACUCCCUAGGGAUCACUGGGGAACUUGGAAAAAAUCUAUUGGCUCAGCUAGUGAGCGAUCACUUCCUGUACCACUGUUCUGAGGGCGGACUUCCAGCUCAGGAUCAUGCGAGGGCAUUUUGUUGCCCUUCAUCACUCAGCAGUGAAGAAUGAAAAUCAACAGAGCUUUCCCCAGCCUGCUGCUUAAGCAGCUGCUAGCAGGCUGAGGCUGCCCAGCCUCAUUAACCCAUUAGAUGCUGCGUUCGCCCGGGAGUCAUUCUUAAUGAGGCUGCUGCAGAUGAGAAAACAGAAGCAAAGGCAGAAAGAUGCUACAUUGCCAGCUUUGAAGAUGGAGGGAAGAGGUCACAAACCAAGGAAGGCAAUGAGGACGUUGCACAAGACAGUCCCUGAUACCCAGAGUUUACUGCCUAAGAGAGGAUACAUCCUUCAAACCAAUAAUCUGCUAAUAGCAAGAUCCAAUAGCUUCAUGGAUAUUGAAAGAAACUGAGAAUCAAAUUUGCAUACUUCUGAGUCACUUGGAAACAAAAAACAAGUACAGUCUUAGAUUCUGAGGGAACAAAAAUUAAAAAUCACAUUAGGAAGAGAAUUCCUAAUGUAGGAACUCAUCCUGGAAGAUUCUUCAGCAAAAGUACAGACAAUAAUAAUAAUACUCCAUGAAGUUACCAUCGAUAUUGAAUGAAUUAAUGAAUGUAAAAACCUCAAAACCCUGCCUGGCCCAGAGCUUUGGAAUGGGUUUGGAUCUACCACUCAACUGCUUUAUGACUUCAGACCAGUUAUUUAAAUUCCCUGAAGCUCAGUUUCCACAUCUUUGAGUUUUUAUUAAUGACCUGCCGACAUCAUACAGUUCAUGAAAUGCUCUGGAUGUGUACAUGCUGAUGAUACGACCUCAGACCCAGCAAGAGCUCAGUGCAGCCCGGAGAGCUGUGAGCAGUGCCACAGGAGGAGAUGACUGGUGAGUGAAAUAAGCAAGAUAGGAGUUGAAGUGUACAUGAAGCAGAGUCCAAGCCUUCUCCUUCUGGAUGUUCAGCUGGAUCAUCCUGACUGCUCCCACUUUCAUCUUGGCUUUCAAAGGGCUAUAUGGAUGUGCUCUACUUGUUGGAGGAUUGUCCAUCCACUCUUCUUCCUGUACUUACCAGGACAGAACAGCCGCAACUUCUCAGACAGUUCAUUCUUCUUUUCCUCACCUACUACCAUCUAAGAAAGGUACUUGAUGACUGUGGCUUUAGACAAGAGUCCUUUUCUUACCACAGGGUGGGCAGCACCAGCUCAUUAGAACCAUUUGUGUGACUGACUGAAGACAGCUCACCUUGGAACACUGCAGGACCCUAAGAGGAUGGAGGUGGAGUUUUUCUGCUCCUACACCUGGAUAGGCAAGACCAACCACUUACCAGAUGGGGAAUCUUCCAGUGCUAAUAGUUCAGACUGUGCAUACAAGAAACUGAGAGAAGGACCAGUACUGUUUUGUGGUUGCAGGUUGUUCCAUGAUGAGAAUAGGGCCAACCAUAAUGGGAGUAGGCUGGCAGAGACUUACUUGUCUAGUCAUGGGCUUUAUGGCAAAUGUCUCUAACACUUACCACCCAAAGCUAUGCUUAUGGUGUUGCAGUCAACAUCUUACUUUAUGAACUUAUAAUCUAUACUGAUGUUUAUUGUUACUAUGUUUUCCUGUUUACCUGAGAGGGGCCACACCCAAAAGGAGUGUCCUAGAGGUGGAAACAUGUACUACAUGUUCUAUUAUAGCAUUUAUCAUAUUAUAAUAUGAAUAAUAUGCUGCCUCUCUGCACUUCAGCUUAACCCAUGACCUCUCUGAGAACAAGUAACAUGUCGCAUUGACCUUUACAUUACUCCCCAGCACCACUUCUUCACUCUGCCCUAUCCCAAGUCCUUCGACUUUGCCUUAUACAUGUGAUCCUCUCUGAAAUUUGUGUCUAAGAAAUGAUCAAUGAAUAAAUACAUGAUUGAAUCAAUACCUUACUUCCUCCAGAGAUGUUUACUUAUCUUUAAUCACAUCCAUUCUAUGUUUAUGAUUUUAAUUUGUAGGUUAUACUUGAAAACAGUAGCCUGAUAAUAAAUAUAAAUUUAUCAGUUUCUCUCUAUUGAAGUUUCAGAACCCCUUUUGCCUCUUCUCAUUUAUAAUUCCUUUAAAUUAGGUAGGAAAGCAAAAAGGAAAUCUUAGUGAGGCAAAUACUAGCUUCUGCUUCCUAUGUAAGGAGAUAAUGGUACUGACACUAUCAGCUGAGGAUAUUUUAUACUUCAAUGGUUUUGUGAAUGGGAACUAAUCCAUUACUUUCUUAACUUGCUAUCUAUUUACUUUCUUAACCUAUAGGUGCACAGGUGGAUGACUUGGCAGGAGAUGCCAUUUAUGGCCAUGGAACAGUCAAGUUGUUAAGGGGACCAAGAAUGUCAAUGAACUAAAAGUUUCUGGACCAGUUUAUUAGGCAAAAAUUAAAAAUAAAAAUAAUAUUUGAGAACCUAAAAUAAAUUUGAUCUCAACUUGCAUAAUAUCUCUAACUCACUGAGGUUCCACGAAGACAGGAAGCCCAAGAAAAAGAGGUUGAAGAAAAUUAACUCUGAAAAAC